This 271-nucleotide ribosomal RNA is filed under the name uncultured bacterium. RNAcentral's name for it is "partial 16S ribosomal RNA". It matches the Rfam family "Bacterial small subunit ribosomal RNA", at positions 30 to 301 of the family's 1533-position model. The record is from RNAcentral.
AUUGAACGCUGGCGGCGUGCCUAACACAUGCAAGUCGAGCGGUAACAGGUGUAGCAAUACAUGCUGACGAGCGGCGAACGGGUGAGUAAUGCUUCGGAAUCUACCCAAUGGUGGGAAUAACCAGCCGAAAGGUUGGCUAAUACCGCAUACGUCCCACGGGAGAAAGCAGGGGAUCGCAAGACCUUGCGCCAAUGGAUGAGCCGAAGUCGGAUUAGCUAGUUGGAGGGUAACGGCCUACCAAGGCGACGAUCCGUAGCUGGUCUGAGAGGAC